GAUGAAGAACGUAGCGAAAUGCGAUAAGUAAUGCGAAUUGCAGAAUUUCCGUGAAUCAUCGAAUCUUUGAACGCACAUUGCGCCCGCCAGUAUUCUGGCGGGCAUGCCUGUUCGAGCGUCAUUUCAACCAUCAAGCCCCAGGCUUGUGUUGGAGCCCUGCGGCUGCCGCAGCCUCCCAAAACCAGUGGCGGGCUCGCUAUCACACCGAGUGCAGUAGUUUACUCUUCGCUCAGGGCGUGUGGCGGGUGCUAGCCGUAAAACCCCCAACUUCUCAAGGUUGACCUCGGAUCAGGUAGGAAUACCCGCUGAACUUAAGCAUAUAAUAAGCGGAGGA
RNAcentral lists this unclassified non-coding RNA (334 nucleotides) under soil metagenome. RNAcentral's name for it is "partial contains 5.8S ribosomal RNA, internal transcribed spacer 2, and large subunit ribosomal RNA". The stretch from base 1 to 121 matches the Rfam family "5.8S ribosomal RNA", at positions 35 to 154 of the family's 154-position model. The record is from RNAcentral.